CUUUGCAUGCUUGAUAUACUAUUCCCUUUAAGGAGAGCAUGGUAUACUCCAUGCGCUCACUGCUCUGCUCUCUCCUAGAUUACCUCUCGCCUCUAGGUAGCUAGGUAAUUACACAUGUUGGGAAGGUUUGUCUACAAAAUCAGUUUGUUUUUCAGCUAAUAUGUGUUGUUGACUUGUUUCUUAUUAUUUUCAGUUUUUGUAUUUUAAUAAACAGUCUCCUACUUAUAUGAAAAUCAAAUCUGAUCUGAUUUGUAAAUAAAUACCCUUAUAAAGGAGAAUAAUAAGGAGGCAGUGAAGAAGAAGAAGCAAAAGAACGGAAAAGACCCAUCGCAAGAUGUUAUCAAUGCACUGCAUCUUCCUUAAAUUUGUAACUUGAUACUUUAUUUGGGUAUGUCCACUGUCUAGAAAAGAAUUCAAGCAGAAUUCUCUUUUUAUCUCACUAUGUUAUUUUACCUGAUCAGAGUUUUUCGUAAGAAGACUACAGUGUAUGCACAAAAUUCUUUAUGCCAGAGAGAGGUCAAGUCUUGUGGAUUGGACAUUUACGGAUUUUCCUUAACAAGAUCAGUUGUAGAUUGGUGGUACGAAGUUUAAAGGCUCUUGAUUGUGUCUCAAAGCUUUAAUUAUCCUUGUUGAAAUUCUCUUUAAUAAGUGAAUAUUGCCUUUUACUCAUAUAAUGUAUGUGAUUUCUGAUUGCAAUGUGUAUGCGGUCUAUCUUCAUUGAAGUUUAAGUGCUUAUAUAAUAGCAAACCAAGCAAUUUUUAUUCCUAGAUAAAAGAAGAAAAGUUGUUUUUAACUGAAAUUAGGGUUAAUAUUUACUAUAAGGAGUACGUGAUAGUUCCUAAGUGAGGCAACUAUGCAUUUCCUCUUCUUUCUGUUUUCUUCAUAGAGGAUCAACUUUUGUCAAUAUUAGAAGUCAAAAAAAUGCACCUUUCAACAAUUUGAAAGUUAUUUUAAGACAUUAGUUAGUGGGAAAAAAAACCUAUAGAAUAAAACAUUUAGCAUUUUCAUUUCCAGAUUUUAAUUUUAGAGAUAUUAUUGUGUGGGGUAAAAUUUGGCCCGCCCCGUUUCCGUCUAAGCAGACACUUCCCUCAUAAUAAAGCCGUCCUCAAAUCGCGUGGCCUCAAGCAAGGACGUCCCAGUCAACUAGGUGGAGGAACGAUGUCGUUUAAGGCUUGGCUUCCUUCGUACGAGGAAGCCACUGACUUUUGUACUUUUCUUUUGAUUAUUUCGAGGAAGGUCUCCUAAUAGAUAAAGAGACAUUCGCCUUUGUAAGGGGAGAUGUGCAUU
Molecule: long non-coding RNA, 1287 nt
Filed under: Nicotiana benthamiana
Lineage: Eukaryota; Viridiplantae; Streptophyta; Magnoliopsida; Solanales; Solanaceae
Description: long non-coding RNA (NBEN_LNC012955)
Source: RNAcentral